This is an unclassified non-coding RNA of Fukomys damarensis (Damara mole-rat), 321 nucleotides long. Its record names the gene 7SK. It matches the Rfam family "7SK RNA". Rfam says of the family: 7SK was discovered as an abundant small nuclear RNA in the mid-70s but a possible function has only recently been suggested. Two independent studies have found that 7SK RNA binds the CDK9/cyclin T complex (known as elongation factor P-TEFb). P-TEFb activates transcription by phosphorylating the C-terminal domain of RNA polymerase II. The record is from Ensembl. Lineage: Eukaryota; Metazoa; Chordata; Mammalia; Rodentia; Bathyergidae.
AGAUGUGAGGUGGUCUGGCUAUGGCAUCUGCCAUCCCAUUGAUACCAGGCUGAUGUGGCAGAUCUGGCUAGUUAAGUAGGUGCCCACCCCUCACUGCUCUAUGUAUGUCCUUCCCAAAACUGGGAAGAGAUGAUCUUCCCCAAUGCAGGAGGACUAUGUUUUUGUCAAGGAUAUAUGAGUAGCUCUAUUCCCCUGCUAAAACCUCCAAACAAACUCAGGACAGAAUUACACUCCUUUAAGCCAGAAUCCAGAAGAGAAGGCUGAAGUAGACUCUUCCCUAGUGCCUUCAAAGAAAGCAUGGUCCUGCAGUUACCUUCACCU